AUCUGAGCCAACUGGGGAGUGGGGUGGAGGUCUAGUUCCCAGCAAUUUGAGAUGAUGAAAAGGUUGCUUGUGAAAUUGUUUGAGUUUUAUGUUUGCCACGCCUCCCAAUUCUUCCUCUUCCAAACUUUCUGGCUUAGUGCUUGGGAGGGCCCCUCCUCCUCCCCUCCUGUCACACCCCUCUCUAGCUGAACACCAGCCAUUCAUUCCCGUUAUCGGGAAGCUGAAGUCUAAACACCCAGCUGGCAGUGAGGGCCAUCACAGCAUGGCUGCGUGCCACUAAUCUCUCCAACCAGGUCUCCCGCCACCGGCCUGCCAGUGCUCUGCCCUCUGGCUGUGCCGCAAUCCACUGUUCUCUACUGACAUCAUGCAAGAGCUGAUCAAAUCAGGUCACAAAUACAACAGGUGUAUCCAGGAACUCCAAGUGGAUUUUCUCUUGCCUGUGUUGUUUCUAAUCGGCUUUUGAGGCACAAUUUAUAUGCAAUAAAAUGCAUACAUGUUAGGUGUACCGCACCAUGGAUCUUGACACAGGCAUGCACCUGGGUGACCGCACCAUAAUCCAGGUGUAGAACACUUUCCAACACCCCAGGAAAUCCCUUGUGCCUCUCCCCAGUCAAUCUCCCUCCUUGCAUCCUGUAUCAGAAAACGCUGCUCUGCCCUCUAGGGCCACA
This 668-nucleotide long non-coding RNA is filed under the name Marmota monax (woodchuck). Lineage: Eukaryota; Metazoa; Chordata; Mammalia; Rodentia; Sciuridae. The record is from RNAcentral.